AAAAUUCAAUGAUGAUUUCAUAGUUCAGCUGAUUUAAUUAACAUUGAUGUAUUACUUAGCAAUGUCUUUCGCUCCUAUCUGAUGAUUUUU
Small nucleolar RNA from Cotesia glomerata, 90 nucleotides. RefSeq annotates it as small nucleolar RNA snR60/Z15/Z230/Z193/J17. NCBI's taxonomy places the organism in Eukaryota, Metazoa, Arthropoda, Insecta, Hymenoptera, Braconidae. The transcript has a single exon. The record is from RefSeq and is a predicted model, not a curated record.